CCUACGGGAGGCAGCAGUGAGGAAUAUUGGUCAAUGGACGAGAGUCUGAACCAGCCAAGUAGCGUGAAGGAUGACUGCCCUAUGGGUUGUAAACUUCUUUUAUAUGGGAAUAAAAUGUUCCACGUGUGGGAUUUUGUAUGUACUUUAUGAAUAAGGAUCGGCUAACUCCGUGCCAGCAGCCGCGGUAAUACGGAGGAUCCGAGCGUUAUCCGGAUUUAUUGGGUUUAAAGGGAGCGUAGAUGGGUUGUUAAGUCAGUUGUGAAAGUUUGCGGCUCAACCGUAAAAUUGCAAUUGAUACUGGCAGCCUUGAGUACAGUUGAGGUAGGCGGAAUUCGUGGUGUAGCGGUGAAAUGCUUAGAUAUCACGAAGAACUCCGAUUGCGAAGGCAGCCUACCAAACCGCCACUGACAUUGAUGCUCGAAAGUGUGGGUAUCAAACAGGAUUAGAUACCCCAGUAGUC
RNAcentral lists this ribosomal RNA (460 nucleotides) under uncultured bacterium. RNAcentral describes it as "partial 16S ribosomal RNA". It matches the Rfam family "Bacterial small subunit ribosomal RNA", at positions 338 to 795 of the family's 1533-position model. The record is from RNAcentral.